AGCAGCCGCGGUAAUUCCAGCUCCAAUAGCGUAUAUUAAAGUUGUUGCAGUUAAAAAGCUCGUAGUUGAAUUUCGGGGUUAGUAGGUCGGUCAUGCCACUGGUAUGUACUGGUCUCACUGAUUCCUCCUUCCUGAUGAACCGUAAUGCCAUUAAUUUGGUGUUGCGGGGAGACUGAACUGUUACUUUGAAAAAAUUGAGUGUUUAAAGCAGGCUAACGCUUGAAUACAUUAGCAUGGAAUAAUGAAAUAGGACGUUCGAUCCUAUUUUGUUGGUUUCUAGGAUUGACGUAAUGAUUAAUAGGGAUAGUUGGGGGCAUUAGUAUUCAAUUGUCAGAGGUGAAAUUCUUGGAUUUAUUGAAGACUAACUACUGCGAAAGCAUUUGCCAGGAUGUUUCAUUAAUCAAGAACGAAGUUAGGGAUCGAAGACGAUCAGAUACGUCGUAGUCUUAACCAUAAACUAUAGCCGACUAGGGAUCGGAUCGGAUGUUUAAUUUUUAGUGUACUUCAUUCCGGCGUCCUU
This 520-nucleotide ribosomal RNA is filed under the name uncultured Glomus. Its description in RNAcentral is "SSU rRNA". It matches the Rfam family "Eukaryotic small subunit ribosomal RNA", at positions 569 to 1090 of the family's 1831-position model. Lineage: Eukaryota; Fungi; Glomeromycota; Glomeromycetes; Glomerales; Glomeraceae. The record is from RNAcentral.